Molecule: long non-coding RNA, 568 nt
Filed under: Pongo abelii (Sumatran orangutan)
Lineage: Eukaryota; Metazoa; Chordata; Mammalia; Primates; Hominidae
Description: lincRNA
Source: RNAcentral
CUUUCCAACCUGGCUGUCUUAAAGGGAACCAGAUUAUGCAAGACUUUGUGUUCCAGCUUAGGCUAAACCAAGAACAACUUUAUCCUAAGGUCAAGAGGAAAUAUUUGAUAGGUUCUAAAGAAGGGAGGAGGAAACUGAGACCCAGGCAGAAGAAUUUGUUCUUCAAACUGCGAAAGCAGAGCUACCCCAAUUCAUCCACACGCAUAGUAUUUCGGAGAAAAAAAGAAAACCCUAGGAUGGCAAGCAGUCAUGAGGACUAAUGGUGGCUUGAUCUAGGCUCACUGCAACCUUCACCUCCCGGGUUCAAGCAAUUCUCCCUGCCUAGCCUCCCGAGUAGCUGGGAUUACAGGCACCCCCCAUCACAACGACAUCAUGAAUUCAAAUUUAGUAUUUUAGAGUGAUCUUAAUAGGUUUUCUACCAGUUGAACUAUGUGGUCAUGGAAGCACUGUUGAGGGUGUGGCACUACUGCCUGUUCUUCAAAGGAAGUCAGGGACCCCGAAUGGAGAGACUGGCUGGAGCCCAGGCAGAAGAACAUAAAUUGUGAAGAUUUCAUGGACAUUUAUCUGU